AGGGAUUUAGCUCAGUGGUUCCAGUGCCUGCCUCGGAAGCACAAGGUCCUGAGUUCAAUCCUCAGUACCCCCC
Molecule: transfer RNA, 73 nt
Filed under: Heterocephalus glaber (naked mole-rat)
Lineage: Eukaryota; Metazoa; Chordata; Mammalia; Rodentia; Bathyergidae
Rfam family: tRNA
About the family: Transfer RNA (tRNA) molecules are approximately 80 nucleotides in length. Their secondary structure includes four short double-helical elements and three loops (D, anti-codon, and T loops).
Source: Rfam by way of RNAcentral